UCCUGCUAUCGGAACUUGAGGGAAACACACCCAUGGCGAGUCAUUUUGGUCUGAGCCAGUGGCUGUUGCUGUUGGUUGUACUGAUAAGCAGUCAAGCGAUCUCAUCACUCAACUCCAACACAUUCACAACUACGCUCCCCGUCAGUGCUCCUAACCGGCGUGUUAUAUUCUACAAGCCGGAACGUGAUAUUAACGAGACGACCGUCAAUAAAUCAAAGUUAUUCGACUCUCCCAAGCUCUGUCAGCCUGGUUAUCAGCUCGAUCGUCACUAUCGGUGUCGACGUGUGAUGAGAUUAUGAUUGAUUACCAUAUCAAUACUAACGCAAGGACUGUAGCUUGUCAUCCAAGAUUUUAAUUCAUUCGACACACCGAUAAAAAAUAGGCUUCCGCUUUGCAAAGCUCAUUCCUGGUUACUCGCGCUCAUAUACUUACUACAUCGUGUACGCUAAUUUUGAACAACUCUGC
Long non-coding RNA from Anopheles nili, 465 nucleotides. RefSeq lists it as uncharacterized. The record is from RefSeq and is a predicted model, not a curated record. The transcript is spliced from 3 exons. NCBI's taxonomy places the organism in Eukaryota, Metazoa, Arthropoda, Insecta, Diptera, Culicidae.